RNAcentral lists this transfer RNA (82 nucleotides) under [Clostridium] cellulosi. Its description in RNAcentral is "Clostridium cellulosi tRNA". It matches the Rfam family "tRNA". Rfam says of the family: Transfer RNA (tRNA) molecules are approximately 80 nucleotides in length. Their secondary structure includes four short double-helical elements and three loops (D, anti-codon, and T loops). The record is from Rfam by way of RNAcentral. Lineage: Bacteria; Bacillati; Bacillota; Clostridia; Eubacteriales; Oscillospiraceae.
GCGGGUAUGGCGGAAUUGGCAGACGUGCCAGACUUAGGAUCUGGUGGAUUUAUCCGUGCAGGUUCAAAUCCUGUUACCCGCA